CAGGCUUAACACAUGCAAGUCGAGGGGCAGCAUGGUCUUAGCUUGCUAAGGCCGAUGGCGACCGGCGCACGGGUGAGUAACACGUAUCCAACCUGCCGUCUACUCUUGGACAGCCUUCUGAAAGGAAGAUUAAUACAAGAUGGCAUCAUGAGUCCGCAUGUUCACAUGAUUAAAGGUAUUCCGGUAGACGAUGGGGAUGCGUUCCAUUAGAUAGUAGGCGGGGUAACGGCCCACCUAGUCUUCGAUGGAUAGGGGUUCUGAGAGGAAGGUCCCCCACAUUGGAACUGAGACACGGUCCAAACUCCUACGGGAGGCAGCAGUGAGGAAUAUUGGUCAAUGGGCGAGAGCCUGAACCAGCCAAGUAGCGUGAAGGAUGACUGCCCUAUGGGUUGUAAACUUCUUUUAUAAAGGAAUAAAGUCGGGUAUGGAUACCCGUUUGCAUGUACUUUAUGAAUAAGGAUCGGCUAACUCCGUGCCAGCAGCCGCGGUAAUACGGAGGAUCCGAGCGUUAUCCGGAUUUAUUGGGUUUAAAGGGAGCGUAGAUGGAUGUUUAAGUCAGUUGUGAAAGUUUGCGGCUCAACCGUAAAAUUGCAGUUGAUACUGGAUAUCUUGAGUGCAGUUGAGGCAGGCGGAAUUCGUGGUGUAGCGGUGAAAUGCUUAGAUAUCACGAAGAACUCCGAUUGCGAAGGCAGCCUGCUAAGCUGCAACUGACAUUGAGGCUCGAAAGUGUGGGUAUCAAACAGGAUUAGAUACCCUGGUAGUCCACACGGUAAACGAUGAAUACUCGCUGUUUGCGAUAUACUGCAAGCGGCCAAGCGAAAGCGUUAAGUAUUCCACCUGGGGAGUACGCCGGCAACGGUGAAACUCAAAGGAAUUGACGGGGGCCCGCACAAGCGGAGGAACAUGUGGUUUAAUUCGAUGAUACGCGAGGAACCUUACCCGGGCUUAAAUUGCAGAUGAAUUACGGUGAAAGCCGUAAGCCGCAAGGCAUCUGUGAAGGUGCUGCAUGGUUGUCGUCAGCUCGUGCCGUGAGGUGUCGGCUUAAGUGCCAUAACGAGCGCAACCCUUGUUGUCAGUUACUAACAGGUUCCGCUGAGGACUCUGACAAGACUGCCAUCGUAAGAUGUGAGGAAGGUGGGGAUGACGUCAAAUCAGCACGGCCCUUACGUCCGGGGCUACACACGUGUUACAAUGGGGGGUACAGAGGGCCGCUACCACGCGAGUGGAUGCCAAUCCCCAAAACCUCUCUCAGUUCGGACUGGAGUCUGCAACCCGACUCCACGAAGCUGGAUUCGCUAGUAAUCGCGCAUCAGCUACGGCGCGGUGAAUACGUUCCCGGGCCUUGUACACACCGCCCGUCAAGCCAUGGGAGCCGGGGGUACCUGAAGUGCGUAACCGCGAGGAGCGCCCUAGGGUAAAACUGGUGACUGGGGCUAAG
This 1438-nucleotide ribosomal RNA is filed under the name uncultured organism. RNAcentral's name for it is "16S ribosomal RNA". It matches the Rfam family "Bacterial small subunit ribosomal RNA". The record is from RNAcentral.